Non-coding RNA from Stegodyphus mimosarum, 71 nucleotides. The record is from Rfam. Lineage: Eukaryota; Metazoa; Arthropoda; Arachnida; Araneae; Eresidae.
GCCUUUGUGGUGUAACGGUAGCACACUCGGCGCGUAUUCGAGAGGUCCAGGUUCGAGUCCCGGCGAGGGCA